Long non-coding RNA from Tupaia belangeri chinensis (Chinese tree shrew), 630 nucleotides. RefSeq lists it as uncharacterized. The record is from RefSeq and is a predicted model, not a curated record. NCBI's taxonomy places the organism in Eukaryota, Metazoa, Chordata, Mammalia, Scandentia, Tupaiidae. The transcript has 2 exons.
AUCUCUAGAGUUGAAUAUCAUCUACUGCAUAGAACUCUGUGGCCCAGCUGUGGUGCUACAAGAGAUGGCCAGAUUUGAUGCCUUCUUCCACCUAAACAAGGCCAGAUUUGUCUUCUUUGGACCUUUCAUACAAAUGGGACCAUAUAAUAUGUGGCCUCUGGGUCUGGCUUCUGAAAUGUUUGUUCAUGUUGUAGCAUGUUUCAUGUUUUUAUGGUUGAAAAAUAUUCCGUUGUAUGGCUCUACUACAUUUGGUUUAUUCAUUUAUCUGUUGAUGGACACCUGGUUUCUUUGCACAUUUUGGUUAUUAUGAAAAAGCUGCUCUGAACACCCAUGUACAAGUUUUUAUAUUCACAUGUUUUUCUAUUCUCUUGUGAAUAUACGAGAAGUGGAAUUAAUCGGUCAUAUGUUAACGCUAUGUUUAAUUUUUUAAGGAACUGAGCAGAUUGAUUUUGAUAACUGCUUUUCUAUAGCUUAAAGCACAUAACUAUCUAAUGAAGGAAUGCUAAAAGGCUAUUGCCAAACACGUGAAAAACAAUGGAAAGGGAAACAAUAAAAGAAAUCCACAGCUCUCAUAAAACCAAAUUGCAUUAGGUGUUAUUGUCUGUGGAGUUCCAAUUUAAUGGUCAGUUU